CCUACGGGUGGCAGCAGUGGGGAAUAUUGGGCAAUGGGCGGAAGGCUGAACCAGCCAUGCCGCGUGAAGGUCAGUGCCCUAUGGGCGUUAAACUUCUUUUGUGCGGGAGCAAUAAUGGUCACGUGUGGCCAGACGAGAGUACCGUACGAAUAAGCAUCGGCUAACUCCGUGCCAGCAGCCGCGGUAAUACGGGGGAUGCAAGCGUUAUCCGGAUUUAUUGGGUUUAAAGGGUGCGUAGGCUGGGAGGUAAGUCAGCGGUGAAAUGCCCCCGCGCAACGGGGUGAAGGGCCAUUGAUACUGCCUGGCUGGAAUGCGGAUGCCGUGGGAGGAAUGUGUGGUGUAGCGGUGAAAUGCAUAGAUAUCACACAGAACACCGAUUGCGAAGGCAUCUCACGAAUCCGCGAUUGACGCUGAUGCACGAAAGCGUGGGUAUCAAACAGGAUUAGAUACCCCUGUAGUC
Molecule: ribosomal RNA, 460 nt
Filed under: uncultured bacterium
Lineage: Bacteria
Description: partial 16S ribosomal RNA
Rfam family: Bacterial small subunit ribosomal RNA
Source: RNAcentral